RNAcentral lists this long non-coding RNA (312 nucleotides) under Trifolium pratense (red clover). RNAcentral's name for it is "long non-coding RNA (TPRA_LNC009309)". The record is from RNAcentral. Lineage: Eukaryota; Viridiplantae; Streptophyta; Magnoliopsida; Fabales; Fabaceae.
AGUGCGAUCUCCACAUGUUAAUCAUUUGCUAAUAAAUAGCACUUGGCGGCCAACAUGAUCUUUAUGGCACACGUCAUAUAUUGUUUAAUAAGUGCCUAAUCUAAUAAAACACGUGUGGUCACCAUGAUCUUUAUCCACGCCAUAUAUUGGUGAAUUGGGCUGCUACAUUGUGGCUUUUGUGGCCCAAUUGGGACUUGUUUGUUUUGGCCUUCACCUCCCUUUUUGCUUCCUGACUCGAUCUAAUUCUUUAUUAGCAUUUAUUUUGCAACUUAUAAAUUAUUUGGUAGCUUCCGGACAUUCCUGAAAUACAUA